Choloepus didactylus (southern two-toed sloth) is the source of this 107-nucleotide small nuclear RNA. NCBI's taxonomy places the organism in Eukaryota, Metazoa, Chordata, Mammalia, Pilosa, Megalonychidae. The record is from RefSeq and is a predicted model, not a curated record.
GUGCUCGCUUUGGCAGCACACAUUCUAAAACUAGAAUGAUACAGAGGAGAUUAGUAUGGCCCCUGUGCAAGGAUGACCUGCAAGUUCAUGAAGUGUUCCAUAUUUUU